This 1168-nucleotide long non-coding RNA is filed under the name Cyanistes caeruleus (blue tit). RNAcentral describes it as "lncRNA (ENSCCEG00000011402.1)". Lineage: Eukaryota; Metazoa; Chordata; Aves; Passeriformes; Paridae. The record is from RNAcentral.
AUGGAACUACCACAGAGCAGUGUGACUUCUGGAUUAAAUCAACAUGAAAGAAAGUCUCCUUUACAUGAAAGACUAUCUGCUAAAGGAGCUGCUUCUAAGCUGAGUGCUCACCCUUGCUCUCUUCCUGAGCUGUGCUGCAGCUUUACCUGGGUCUUUCCACCUGCCUAGCUGACCUGGAUACUGAUCCUGGCUUAGAGACUGGAAUUACUGGCUUGAUCUUGGGCAUGUCUUAUCACUGUGGACACAUCUGGUAUGACUAGACUGCUGGCUGACCCAUCACAAAGCUUCACUGCUAUCCUUGCUCAUAUGAGGUGGGACUGCAUUCUUGACAUCCUGUCCUUGCCUGCCUUUUAGUGAUGCUGACUUUUUGGAUCUCCUUUCCUUAUGGAACAGCUCCUCCUGCUGCUCAUUGACAUGGCCACUGUAAUCUAUGCUUCAACCAUAAUUCUCCCUGUGGGUUUACAGGAUGUUGUACAGCUUUUGGAAUAGAUGACUACAAGGCUCCUACAGUACCCUUUCUAUAAACUGUGUAUGGGGAUAUAUAUGUGUUUUGUUAGUUGACUCCAUGAGGAUGGGGUGUUCAGGUUCAGCUAGCACCCCUCUGAUCUCUAAUGUUGAUUUUGACUGAUGGGUAGACAUUCUGGAAGAUAGCCUGAGAGACCUUUGUCUCCAUCUGCACCUCAGACUCAGACUGGGUGCCUGACAAUCAGCAUCAAGGGAAUAAGGCUGCAAAAUGCAGUGGAGAACCUUCUUCUCAGAUGCUGGCAACCAGAAUGUGAUAUGAUGACAGUGACAGGUAUGAAACCAUUACAUAGAACCUUCAAAUGACCCUUUUCAGGUCAAAAUGUCUGCACCAAAGUGCAGAGCGCAAUAUGAUACCAGGAGCUGGAUGGUCAUUUUCCACAGGGUGAAGGAGCAAUCUACCCAUCAGCAGCUUCCUUUGACUCUUCCUGGAGAAAAAGAUUGAUCCAGUACUUCCUAGAUAAUUCCUGAGCAUGAGCAUAAUUGUGAAUACAGCAUCAGAAUCAAAUUCUGCAGCUGGAAUAGCAGCAGUGUCACUCAGAUUGUCAGCCCAUUGCCAGAGAGGCUAGGCUUGGCCUGGCUUUUGAGGUCUGCAGUGAGUAGAGGCAUAGGAGUCACCCUGGGUCUCUUAGCUGUGGAAAAAAGG